Molecule: ribosomal RNA, 400 nt
Filed under: phytoplankton environmental sample
Lineage: Eukaryota
Description: partial small subunit ribosomal RNA
Rfam family: Eukaryotic small subunit ribosomal RNA
Source: RNAcentral
AGCUCCAAAAGCGUAUAUUUAAGUUGUUGCAGUUAAAAAGCUCGUAGUUGGAUUUUGGGCGGGACGGGCCGGUCCGCCGUUGCGGUGUGCACUGGCGCGUCUAGUCUUUGUAUUUGUCGAGGACGUAUUUUCCUUGGCCUUCGUUGGCUGGGGUGCGGAGUCGGCGCGGUUACUUUGAAAAAAUUAGAGUGUUCAAAGCGGGCUUACGCUUGAAUAUAUUAGCAUGGAAUAACACGAUAGGACUCCGCUCCUAUUUUGUUGGUCUUCGGGACUGGAGUAAUGAUUAAGAGGAACAGUUGGGGGCAUUCGUAUUUCAUUGUCAGAGGUGAAAUUCUUGGAUUUAUGAAAGACGAACUUCUGCGAAAGCAUUUGCCAAGGAUGUUUUCAUUAAUCAAGAACG